This 243-nucleotide long non-coding RNA is filed under the name Phoenix dactylifera (date palm). RNAcentral describes it as "long non-coding RNA (PDAC_LNC019719)". Lineage: Eukaryota; Viridiplantae; Streptophyta; Magnoliopsida; Arecales; Arecaceae. The record is from RNAcentral.
UUGCUGAGGGAUAGGGGCGCUAUAUGUAGGAAUAGGUGGAGCCAAUGAUUGGUUUAUUUGUGAUGGACCUAUCCUGGGAAAAUUCUUCUGAAAACCUGGUAGACCACUUUGAUGCUGAAUAGGUUCAUUUUGCUUGUAUGAGAAAUUUGGAUGGAACCUAUUAUCAGGGUGGUAGACUGGACUGAAUGAAUUGGGAGUGGGCUUUUUGAAGGCACUAUAUGAAUUUAGAGCAUUUGCUUGCUC